GCUGGCGGCGUGCCUAUUACAUGCGAGUCGAGCGAAUGGAUUAAGAGCUUGCUCUUAUGAAGUUAGCGGCGGACGGGUGAGUAACACGUGGGUAACCUGCCCAUAAGACUGGGAUAACUCCGGGAAACCGGGGCUAAUACCGGAUAACAUUUUGAACCGCAUGGUUCGAAAUUGAAAGGCGGCUUCGGCUGUCACUUAUGGAUGGACCCGCGUCGCAUUAGCUAGUUGGUGAGGUAACGGCUCACCAAGGCAACGAUGCGUAGCCGACCUGAGAGGGUGAUCGGCCACACUGGGACUGAGACACGGCCCAGACUCCUACGGGAGGCAGCAGUAGGGAAUCUUCCGCAAUGGACGAAAGUCUGACGGAGCAACGCCGCGUGAGUGAUGAAGGCUUUCGGGUCGUAAAACUCUGUUGUUAGG
This 420-nucleotide ribosomal RNA is filed under the name Bacillus cereus. Its description in RNAcentral is "bacterial SSU rRNA". It matches the Rfam family "Bacterial small subunit ribosomal RNA", at positions 35 to 443 of the family's 1533-position model. Lineage: Bacteria; Bacillati; Bacillota; Bacilli; Caryophanales; Bacillaceae. The record is from RNAcentral.